Non-coding RNA from Anolis sagrei ordinatus, 103 nucleotides. The record is from RefSeq and is a predicted model, not a curated record. NCBI's taxonomy places the organism in Eukaryota, Metazoa, Chordata, Lepidosauria, Squamata, Anolidae.
UUGACUUCAGCAGCACAUAUACUAAAAUUGGAACGAUACAGAGAAGAUUAGCAUGGCCCCUGCACAGGAUGAUACGCAAUUCGUGAAGACAACCCAGGUAGAU